ACCAUGUGGCGGGUCCACCGCGGGACACGGUGACGGGUCCCCUGCGGACCGGGGGGAUGAGUCGGCGUGUUCACCGCGAGACCGUGCGGCGGGUCCACCGCGAGACCGUGCGGCGGGUCCACAGCCGGGCGACGUGGAUGGGUCCCGUCCGGACCGCCGGAUGACUCGGCAGGUCCACCGCGGGACAACGCGGCGGGUCUACCGUGGGAAACCGUGGGACCAUGCGGCGAGUCCCCCGCUUGACAACGGUGACGGGUCCCGUCCGGACGCCCGGACGAUGCGGCGGGUCCACCGCGGGACGUCCGUUUCUCACUCUCACCGGAGUCAAAGGAGAAGACCCAGGCAGAAGCAGAAACGCUACUGACGCCAAACGCAGUUCAGCAUGCCGGCUGCACCGCCGGCCGCUGGCGUCGCUGUUUUGCCAGAACUCAGUCUGCGCCGGAUACUGUACGUCUAGAGGCCGCGGUUUCUUUUCUGAAAUUUCGCCAUUUUCUGACCCCGCCUCCCUUCAUGACUACAAAUACCCAGGCCUGGAGGAGCCUGUAACAGGAUAUGCUGCCUGCCCCAGUGCAGGCACUGCUGUCCUCCCCGCCCAAGUGCUGCCCAAGCGAUGGAGACAAUGGAGCAGAGGUUCCCUUGCAGACCACCAAGGAGGAGAGUGCGGAUCCGACCACAGGGGCGAAAGCGCUUCCAUAGAACUGUUGGAAUCUGCUGCAAACUAAGGGGGCGUGCCCGGAUCCGACCAAGGGUUUGAGUCCAGAUCUGACGCAAAACUGCAACAGGUGAAUGGGCUCCUCAGGGACCUCUCGCUUGCUCGGUUGUGGAUCUCAAGGAUGCCUUUUUCUCUAUCCCUCUCAGCCUCAUGCUGCCGCCUAGACCGACCUUGACACCGCUCACCCAGACUGUCCUACCACAGGGGUUCCAGGAGAUCCCACAUCUAUUUGGCCAGACCCCAGCUUCUGACCUACUCUCCCUGUCUCUCCAAAUCUAAACUCAUACAGUAUGUAGAUAUUUUACUUUGCAGUCCAUCCUUAGAAAUUAGCCAAACUAAUACUUCUGCUCUUCUAAAUUUCUUGUCCAGCAGGGCCUAUAGAGUCUCACCGCCCAAGGCCAAAAUGUCCACUCCUCGGGUCACCUACUUAGGACUAACCAUUACCCUAAUUCACAAAGCUAUUACUUUAGACAGAAAGAACAUAAUCCACUCUCUUACAGUCCCUUCUACUAAGAGGAAAUUUUAUUGUUCCUAGGAAUAGGUGGUAGAGAGGGGACUUAGCUAUCAAAAUUGGGAAGAACUCAAUCUGGGAGAUUUUUUGCAUAGGGAUUUCAUUCCUGCUCUUGGUAGAGUCCUCCAUAGGCUCAAUUCAAAGAAAGCAAAAUGGAUUUAGGAAGCUUCCCUGACAGCAAUGACCAGUUAUGUCCGAUGCAAGACUUAGACUCUUUAAAAUAAAAUGAUUAUUAAACAUUUA
This is a long non-coding RNA of Microtus oregoni (creeping vole), 1466 nucleotides long. RefSeq lists it as uncharacterized. The record is from RefSeq and is a predicted model, not a curated record. The transcript has 2 exons. NCBI's taxonomy places the organism in Eukaryota, Metazoa, Chordata, Mammalia, Rodentia, Cricetidae.